GAAGCAAGCCUCGAUACGCGCUUCGUGGAAACGCCCCCUCCAUUAAUCGACACACGCUUCGAAGCCGCGGCACAUCUCCUAUCGUCAGUAUUUUUUGGAGUAAAACACGCUGAAUUAGUGAGGAUGACUCCUGCUCCUGUCAUCUCUAAGCUCCUCACACAUCUUUACCUGCACAUGAGGAAAAUCACUCCUGUAGAAUGCAGAUGUUCAGAGGGAGAUGAUGCCACAUCUGGUCCAGCUGAUGGAAGGUCUUGAAGUUCUCUGACUGGCCUGGACUGAAGAUGGUCGUCUCACUGGAUUUAAGGUUCAGAUGCUCAGUAACAAACUCCACCAAUGUGCCAACAGGGAAGCUUUAGGUUUAUUAAAUGUUGCUAUGGAGGUAUCGUUGUUUUUCUUUGUAGAUGCAAUGUGCUCCAACUGAAACUUGAAUUAGAACUUAGAAGUAAAUCCUUCCAUCUGAAAGGAUUUAAUUGCAUUAAUAACCUCAUAACAUUCUAAUUUUUGUUUCAGUCUUGGCUGGAAAUAGAAUCUCUGUAUUGAUUCAGGUAAAAACUGAACUUCACAGCAUGUUGAAGCAAAACAACCAGAUGAAAACUGUGAUGGUGUUGGAUUGUCAGACCGUAAUGUUGCAGCUCAAAGCAGCUUUUCUAGCUCAGUUCAUUCUGACAUUCAGUUAUGAAUCAACACAGCAGAUGGUGAUCCAUGCUGUGGAAGUCUCACACCUCCUGAUUUAACCCUUUAAGCGCCAAAGUUGUAAUAUUGCGACAAGCAACAUUGCUGAACAUAACAAGCUAUAGCUGCAAAUAUGGUGCCUCAUAUGGUUACUACUUUACACGAGGAGAUGGCGGACAUCUGGAACUUCAAUCUGAGCAUCAUUUGUGGGCGUGUUUUCAUUCAAAGUUUUGGAGUUUGAAAACCGCCUCCCGGUCGAGGGGACGAGGGUCGUAGUCGGAGCGCAGCAGAGCGCACGACAGCCCGAGAAAACUGACCAUUCUGAGAGGUUUGUUCACUGUUGACAAAGUACUUCGUCAAGUAAUGGCUGACUCAGAUUCUGAAGAGGAAUAUUCACCCUCUGAUGAAGAUGUUCAGUCGUCCAGUGAGACAGAAAGUAACGCUGCGUCUGUGCGUAACGGCAGCGAGUCCGUGCGCCAUGAUAGUCCACAAGCAGCACAUACUGGAGCCGAUGCUUUGCUUCAACGUGUCCAGGGUGGCGUGGUGGGUGUAGCAGGGGUGGUCAAAACACCGCUAAUAGUGAGGUGGGUAGCGGGGAUGCAAAAAACCGCGGAAAUAGAGGCAGACGCGGGAGAAAAUGCACUGAUAAUGGCGGC
This is a long non-coding RNA of Amphiprion ocellaris (clown anemonefish), 1328 nucleotides long. NCBI's taxonomy places the organism in Eukaryota, Metazoa, Chordata, Actinopteri, Pomacentridae. The record is from Ensembl.